RNAcentral lists this ribosomal RNA (765 nucleotides) under uncultured Streptococcus sp. RNAcentral describes it as "bacterial SSU rRNA". It matches the Rfam family "Bacterial small subunit ribosomal RNA", at positions 28 to 776 of the family's 1533-position model. The record is from RNAcentral. Lineage: Bacteria; Bacillati; Bacillota; Bacilli; Lactobacillales; Streptococcaceae.
GAUGAACGCUGGCGGCGUGCCUAAUACAUGCAAGUAGAACGCUGAAGGAAGGAGCUUGCUCUUUCCGGAUGAGUUGCGAACGGGUGAGUAACGCGUAGGUAACCUGCCUGGUAGCGGGGGAUAACUAUUGGAAACGAUAGCUAAUACCGCGUAACAGUAGAUAUUGCAUGAUAUCUGCUUGAAAGGGGCAAUUGCUCCACUACCAGAUGGACCUGCGUUGUAUUAGCUAGUUGGUGAGGUAACGGCUCACCAAGGCGACGAUACAUAGCCGACCUGAGAGGGUGAUCGGCCACACUGGGACUGAGACACGGCCCAGACUCCUACGGGAGGCAGCAGUAGGGAAUCUUCGGCAAUGGACGGAAGUCUGACCGAGCAACGCCGCGUGAGUGAAGAAGGUUUUCGGAUCGUAAAGCUCUGUUGUAAGAGAAGAACGAGUGUGAGAGUGGAAAGUUCACACUGUGACGGUAUCUUACCAGAAAGGGACGGCUAACUACGUGCCAGCAGCCGCGGUAAUACGUAGGUCCCGAGCGUUAUCCGGAUUUAUUGGGCGUAAAGCGAGCGCAGGCGGUUAGAUAAGUCUGAAGUUAAAGGCUGUGGCUUAACCAUAGUACGCUUUGGAAACUGUUUAACUUGAGUGCAAGAGGGGAGAGUGGAAUUCCAUGUGUAGCGGUGAAAUGCGUAGAUAUAUGGAGGAACACCGGUGGCGAAAGCGGCUCUCUGGCUUGUAACUGACGCUGAGGCUCGAAAGCGUGGGGAGCAAACAGG